UGUUUUGGUGUAAAUAGGUAAUGGGACAAGUACUGGUGUGAGACAUUGUGUAACCUAAAUAAUAUAGGACCAGUAUUCAAAUUUAUUGUUAUUUACUUCAACUUCAAUAGUAUGAACUGCAUAUACGUGAUGAAUUAUGGCAAUAACGAUUAUAGGAACUGAGGAGGGGUGAAUUUGUUAAUUGGAAACGAUAAGUCGAGAGAUAAAGGAGAGAAAAGGAAAGGCAACCCUGUACGCGUUUCGACCUAACAGUCUUCUUCAGCAGGGUUUUUUAAGAGGGGUGCAGGUAGAAUUUGCAGAGGAGAAUGAAGGAGAGGUUAAGAGUUAGGAUAAGCAAUGGCACAGUAACAAAAAGGAAAGAUGGAAAGAUAGUGAGAAAUGAAAAAACUACUACAUGUUAAAAGAAAAGUUAUCCUACCAAAUGUCUUGUUAUUGCGCGACAUUCCAACACCACGCACCUUGCUGUUCAUCUUUUGUUUAGUUUGAUAAAGCAGAGUAAUAAUACAGUCCUUUCAAAUGUAGCUAACUCAAUAGUAUAGUGAGUAUGAAUGAUGUGAUGGUAGGGGUGGGGUAGGAUUUAUAUCAUAGUGUGAUCAUGUGACUAAAGGUGAUUGCAUCCUAAUAUGGUGAAGGGAGCUAAUUAGACAGGGAUGGGGAGGUAUCGCAAUAAGAGGUGAUUAGUGAUGAAUAAUAAAAUAAAUAAAUAAUUAGAUAAAUAAUUACCCCUUUACAGGGUUUAUUGUUAUAGAUUUAUGAGUAUACAUUAACCCCCCAAAAAUAUGUACAUAUAUAACAAAGCCAAGCAAGGAUGAUAAAUGGAAUGAUAUUAUAUGUCCAAUCGUUAUCUAUAGUAGGUCUUAAUUUGUCACGUGGAGUACUCAAGUUAUCCAUCAUUAUAUUUACAAAGUAUACUAUUAAAACAUGACAAGUAUGUUUCGUGUUACUUGUACAAGGAACCAAUGGUUAUAUGAAAAUAAAUAGGGACUGGGAAUAUGUUGGUGCAUUAUUUAAUAGCUGGUCAUAACUGAAAAAUUCUACAUAGGACGCGUAUGACGCCUAAGGUAUAAAAUGCAUGUUGACAUGCAUAGAGGAUUUGAAUUAGGUAUAGGAAUUGUAACUAUUGCUAUUAGC
Paramuricea clavata is the source of this 1131-nucleotide non-coding RNA. The record is from the annotation of a GenBank genome assembly. NCBI's taxonomy places the organism in Eukaryota, Metazoa, Cnidaria, Anthozoa, Malacalcyonacea, Plexauridae.